UUGUUAAGUCAGAUGUGAAAGCCCGGGGCUCAACCUCGGAACCGCAUUUGAAACUGGCAGGCUAGAGUCUUGUAGAGGGGGGUAGAAUUUCAGGUGUAGCGGUGAAAUGCGUAGAGAUCUGAAGGAAUACCAGUGGCGAAGGCGGCCCCCUGGACAAAGACUGACGCUCAGAUGCGAAAGCGUGGGUAGCAAACAGGAUUAGAUACCCUGGUAGUCCACGCCGUAAACGCUGUCUACUUGGAGGUUGAGGUUUUAGACUUUGGCUUUCGGCGCUAACGCAUUAAGUAGACCGCCUGGGGAGUACGGCCGCAAGGUUAAAACUCAAAUGAAUUGACGGGGGCCCGCACAAGCGGUGGAGCAUGUGGUUUAAUUCGAUGCAACGCGAAGAACCUUACCUACUCUUGACAUCCAGCGAAGCCUUUAGAGAUAGAGGUGUGCCUUCGGGAGCGCUGAGACAGGUGCUGCAUGGCUGUCGUCAGCUCGUGUUGUGAAAUGUUGGGUUAAGUCCCGCAACGAGCGCAACCCUUAUCCUUGUUUGCCAGCACGUAAUGGUGGGAACUCCAGGGAGACUGCCGGUGAUAAACCGGAGGAAGGUGGGGACGACGUCAAGUCAUCAUGGCCCUUACGGGUAGGGCUACACACGUGCUACAAUGGCCGGUACAAAGGGCAGCGAGCUCGCGAGAGUCAGCAAAUCCCUUAAAGCCGGUCUCAGUCCGGAUCGGAGUCUGCAACUCGACUCCGUGAAGUCGGAAUCGCUAGUAAUCGUGGAUCAGAAUGCCACGGUGAAUACGUUCCCGGGCCUUGCACACACCGCCCGU
RNAcentral lists this ribosomal RNA (818 nucleotides) under uncultured bacterium. RNAcentral's name for it is "bacterial SSU rRNA". It matches the Rfam family "Bacterial small subunit ribosomal RNA", at positions 580 to 1397 of the family's 1533-position model. The record is from RNAcentral.